AACUCCAAGAAUACGCGGAGGAGGUGGCCCGGGUCGGCGUCGGCGCCGUCCGUCGCGGGCCACGGGCCCGCUUCCAAGUGCGUCUGUGCGCCGGCCACCCACGCCGGGUUCAAGUGCCCCUUCCACCGCACCAACUCCCAGGGCCAGGGAAGCCGCCCUUCUUCGCCCCCUUCACCGGCCGCGGCCAACGCGGUGCCGCGGCACCCGGCCUCGCCGUCCUCGUCCUCCGGCACCGUCGCGACCCAGUGA
This 249-nucleotide ribosomal RNA is filed under the name Triticum aestivum (bread wheat). RNAcentral's name for it is "partial small subunit ribosomal RNA". The record is from RNAcentral. Lineage: Eukaryota; Viridiplantae; Streptophyta; Magnoliopsida; Poales; Poaceae.